AGAGAGAGACAUGCGCGCAUAUCAAUAAGCGGAGGAAAAGGAAACUAACUAGGAUUCCCCUAGUAACGGCGAGUGAAGCGGGAAGAGCUCAAAUUUGAAAUCUUCAAGGGUUCUACCUUUACGAAUUGUAGUUUAAAGAAGUGUUUUCUGUUGAGGUUUUGGUAAAAGUUCUUUGGAAUAGGACAUCAUAGAGGGUGAGAAUCCCGUAUUUGACCAUUACUUUCCAACUUUGUGAUACACUUUCAAAGAGUCGGAUUGUUUGGGAAUGCAGUCCAAAAUGGGUGGUAAAUUUCAUCUAAAGCUAAAUAUUGGCGAGAGACCGAUAGCGAACAAGUACCGUGAGGGAAAGAUGAAAAGAACUUUGAAAAGAGAGUUAAACAGUACGUGAAAUUGUCAAAAGGGAAGCGUUUGACACCAGUGUUGUUUUUCUGAAAAUCAAUUAAAAAACUGUUUAUGCUAAGUUGUUUAGACUUUAUCAGCUAUCUGUUUAGUUUUGAGCUUUUCUUUAAUGCACUUUUCAGUUAACAAGUCAACAUCAAUUUCUUUUGCUGUAAAAAAGCUUGAGGAAGGUGGCUUGAGAUUCGUCUUAAGUGUUUAUAGCCUCUUGCCUAUGCAGUCGGAGAGAUUGAGGUCUGCAGCGUAGAUCCUUCGGGGUUAGAUACAUUUGUGCUAAGUUAUAGCCUUUCAUAGACAACUUGUUGACUAUGAUCAGUCAUGUAGCUUACUCGCUUAUGCUAUUUUACCUACGCUUAGGAUGUUGAUGUGAUACUGCGAGCA
RNAcentral lists this ribosomal RNA (777 nucleotides) under uncultured Neocallimastigales. Its description in RNAcentral is "partial large subunit ribosomal RNA". It matches the Rfam family "Eukaryotic large subunit ribosomal RNA", at positions 23 to 646 of the family's 3401-position model. Lineage: Eukaryota; Fungi; Neocallimastigomycota; Neocallimastigomycetes; Neocallimastigales. The record is from RNAcentral.